GUGGGGAAUAUUGCGCAAUGGGCGAAAGCCUGACGCAGCGACGCCGCGUGGGGGAUGACGGCCUUCGGGUUGUAAACCUCUUUCAGCAGGGACGAAGCGAAAGUGACGGUACCUGCAGAAGAAGCACCGGCCAACUACGUGCCAGCAGCCGCGGUAAUACGUAGGGUGCAAGCGUUGUCCGGAAUUAUUGGGCGUAAAGAGCUCGUAGGCGGUUCGUCGCGUCGGCUGUGAAAUCCCGAGGCUCAACCUCGGGUCUGCAGUCGAUACGGGCGGACUUGAGUUCGGCAGGGGAGACUGGAAUUCCUGGUGUAGCGGUGAAAUGCGCAGAUAUCAGGAGGAACACCGGUGGCGAAGGCGGGUCUCUGGGCCGAAACUGACGCUGAGGAGCGAAAGCGUGGGGAGCGAACAGG
This 410-nucleotide ribosomal RNA is filed under the name uncultured bacterium. Its description in RNAcentral is "bacterial SSU rRNA". It matches the Rfam family "Bacterial small subunit ribosomal RNA", at positions 354 to 776 of the family's 1533-position model. The record is from RNAcentral.